GACGAACGCUGGCGGCGUGCUUAACACAUGCAAGUCGAACGGAAAGGCCCUGCUUUUGUGGGGUGCUCGAGUGGCGAACGGGUGAGUAACACGUGAGUAACCUGCCCUUGACUUUGGGAUAACUUCAGGAAACUGGGGCUAAUACCGGAUAGGAGCUCCUGCUGCAUGGUGGGGGUUGGAAAGUUUCGGCGGUUGGGGAUGGACUCGCGGCUUAUCAGCUUGUUGGUGGGGUAGUGGCUUACCAAGGCUUUGACGGGUAGCCGGCCUGAGAGGGUGACCGGCCACAUUGGGACUGAGAUACGGCCCAGACUCCUACGGGGGGCAGCAGUGGGGAAGAUUGAACAAUGGGCGGAAGCCUGAUGCAGCAACGCCGCGUGCGGGAUGACGGCCUUCGGGUUGUAAACCGCUUUCGCCUGUGACGAAGCGUGAGUGACGGUAAUGGGUAAAGAAGCACCGGCUAACUACGUGC
RNAcentral lists this ribosomal RNA (469 nucleotides) under uncultured bacterium. RNAcentral's name for it is "partial 16S ribosomal RNA". It matches the Rfam family "Bacterial small subunit ribosomal RNA", at positions 28 to 508 of the family's 1533-position model. The record is from RNAcentral.